This 500-nucleotide ribosomal RNA is filed under the name uncultured bacterium. RNAcentral's name for it is "partial 16S ribosomal RNA". It matches the Rfam family "Bacterial small subunit ribosomal RNA", at positions 30 to 523 of the family's 1533-position model. The record is from RNAcentral.
AUUGAACGCUGGCGGCAGGCCUAACACAUGCAAGUCGAGCGGAUGAAGGUAGCUUGCUACCUGACUCAGCGGCGGACGGGUGAGUAAUGCCUAGGAAUCUGCCUGGUAGUGGGGGACAACGUUUCGAAAGGAACGCUAAUACCGCAUACGUCCUACGGGAGAAAGUGGGGGUUCUUCGGACCUCACGCUAUCAGAUGAGCCUAGGUACGAUUAGCUAGUUGGUGAGGUAAAGGCUCACCAAGGCGACGAUCGUUAACUGGUCUGAGAGGAUGAUCAGUCACACUGAAACUGAGACACGGUCCAGACUCCUACGGGAGGCAGCAGUGGGGAAUAUUGGACAAUGGGCGAAAGCCUGAUCCAGCCAUGCCGCGUGUGUGAAGAAGGUCUUCGGAUUGUAAAGCACUUUAAGUUGGGAGGAAGGGCAGUAAGUUAAUACCUUGCUGUUUUGACGUUACCGACAGAAUAAGCACCGGCUAACUUCGUGCCAGCCGCCGCAGUAA